RNAcentral lists this ribosomal RNA (320 nucleotides) under uncultured Streptococcus sp. Its description in RNAcentral is "bacterial SSU rRNA". It matches the Rfam family "Bacterial small subunit ribosomal RNA", at positions 1061 to 1382 of the family's 1533-position model. Lineage: Bacteria; Bacillati; Bacillota; Bacilli; Lactobacillales; Streptococcaceae. The record is from RNAcentral.
CGUGUCGUGAGAUGUUGGGUUAAGUCCCGCAACGGGCGCAACCCCUAUUGUUAGUUGCCAUCAUUCAGUUGGGCACUCUAGCGAGACUGCCGGUAAUAAACCGGAGGAAGGUGGGGAUGACGUCAAAUCAUCAUGCCCCUUAUGACCUGGGCUACACACGUGCUACAAUGGUUGGUACAACGAGUUGCGAGUCGGUGACGGCGAGCUAAUCUCUUAAAGCCAAUCUCAGUUCGGAUUGUAGGCUGCAACUCGCCUACAUGAAGUCGGAAUCGCUAGUAAUCGCGGAUCAGCACGCCGCGGUGAAUACGUUCCCGGGCCUU